CAGCCGCCACGGGAAUACGUAGGUGGCAAGCGCUGUCCGGAAUUAUUGGGCGUAAAGGGCUCGCAGGCGGUUUCUUAAGUCUGAUGUGAAAGCCCCCGGCUCAACCGGGGAGGGUCAUUGGAAACUGGGAAACUUGAGUGCAGAAGAGGAGAGUGGAAUUCCACGUGUAGCGGUGAAAUGCGUAGAGAUGUGGAGGAACACCAGUGGCGAAGGCGACUCUCUGGUCUGUAACUGACGCUGAGGAGCGAAAGCGUGGGGAGCGAACAGGAUUAGAUACCCCUGUAGUCCCUGUCUCUUAUAC
RNAcentral lists this ribosomal RNA (301 nucleotides) under uncultured bacterium. RNAcentral's name for it is "partial 16S ribosomal RNA". It matches the Rfam family "Bacterial small subunit ribosomal RNA", at positions 509 to 807 of the family's 1533-position model. The record is from RNAcentral.